CAGCAGCCGCGGUAAUACGAAGGGGGCUAGCGUUGUUCGGAAUUACUGGGCGUAAAGGGCGCGUAGGCGGCCAUUCAAGUUAGAUGUGAAAGCCCUGGGCUCAACCUAGGAAUUGCAUUUGAUACUGUUUGGCUUGAGUUCGGGAGAGGUGAGUGGAAUUCCCAGUGUAGAGGUGAAAUUCGUAGAUAUUGGGAAGAACACCAGUGGCGAAGGCGGCUCACUGGACCGACACUGACGCUGAGGCGCGAAAGCGUGGGGAGCAAACAGGAUUAGAUACCCGCGUAGUCCCUGUCUCUUAUAC
This 301-nucleotide ribosomal RNA is filed under the name uncultured bacterium. Its description in RNAcentral is "partial 16S ribosomal RNA". It matches the Rfam family "Bacterial small subunit ribosomal RNA", at positions 509 to 807 of the family's 1533-position model. The record is from RNAcentral.